This 497-nucleotide ribosomal RNA is filed under the name uncultured bacterium. RNAcentral describes it as "partial 16S ribosomal RNA". It matches the Rfam family "Bacterial small subunit ribosomal RNA", at positions 28 to 507 of the family's 1533-position model. The record is from RNAcentral.
GAUGAACGCUGGCGGCGUGCCUAAUACAUGCAAGUCGAGCGAACGGACGAGAGGCUUGCUUCUCUGAUGUUAGCGGCGGACGGGUGAGUAACACGUGGAUAACCUACCUAUAAGACUGGGAUAACUUCGGGAAACCGUAGCUAAUACCGGAUAAUAUUUUGAACCGCAUGGUUCAAAAGUGAAAGACGGUCUUGCUGUCACUUAUAGAUGGAUCCGCGCUGCAUUAGCUAGUUGGUAAGGUAACGGCUUACCAAGGCAACGAUGCAUAGCCGACCUGAGAGGGUGAUCGGCCACACUGGAACUGAAACACGGUCCAGACUCCUACGGGAGGCAGCAGUAGGGAAUCUUCCGCAAUGGGCGAAAGCCUGACGGAGCAACGCCGCGUGAGUGAUGAAGGUCUUCGGAUCGUAAAACUCUGUUAUUAGGGAAGAACAUAUGUGUAAGUAACUGUGCACAUCUUGACGGUACCUAAUCAGAAAGCCACGGCUAACUACGUG